Molecule: ribosomal RNA, 342 nt
Filed under: Chromohalobacter sp.
Lineage: Bacteria; Pseudomonadati; Pseudomonadota; Gammaproteobacteria; Oceanospirillales; Halomonadaceae
Description: bacterial SSU rRNA
Rfam family: Bacterial small subunit ribosomal RNA
Source: RNAcentral
GAACUCUGGACUUACGGGUAGGGCUACACACGUGCUACAAUGGCCGGUACAAAGGGUUGCGAAACCGCGAGGUGAAGCCAAUCCCAGAAAGCCGGCCUCAGUCCGGAUUGGAGUCUGCAACUCGACUCCAUGAAGUCGGAAUCGCUAGUAAUCGUGAAUCAGAAUGGCACGGUGAAUACGUUCCCGGGCCUUGUACACACCGCCCGUCACACCAUGGGAGUGGACUGCACCAGAAGUGGUUAGCUUAACCUUCGGGAGAGAGAUCACCACGGUGUGGUUCAUGACUGGGGAGAAGUCAUAACAGGGUACCCGUGGGGGAACCUGCUGUGGAUCCUCUUAUAA